UGGGGAAUAUUGGUCAAUGGGGGCAACCCUGAACCAGCAACGCCGCGUGAAGGAUGAAGGUCUUCGGAUUGUAAACUUUUGUCGUAUAGGACGAAGAAUGACGGUACUAUACAAGAAAGCCACGGCUAACUACGUGCCAGCAGCCGCGGUAAUACGUAGGUGGCGAGCGUUGUCCGGAUUUACUGGGUGUAAAGGGCGCGUAGGCGGGUUUGCAAGUCAGAUGUGAAAUCCCGAGGCUUAACUUCGGAACUGCAUUUGAAACUGCAGAUCUUGAGUGCGGGAGAGGAAAGCGGAAUUCCUAGUGUAGCGGUGAAAUGCGUAGAUAUUAGGAGGAACACCGGUGGCGAAGGCGGCUUUCUGGACCGUAACUGACGCUGAGGCGCGAAAGCGUGGGUAGCAAACAGG
RNAcentral lists this ribosomal RNA (405 nucleotides) under uncultured bacterium. RNAcentral describes it as "bacterial SSU rRNA". It matches the Rfam family "Bacterial small subunit ribosomal RNA", at positions 355 to 776 of the family's 1533-position model. The record is from RNAcentral.